This 253-nucleotide ribosomal RNA is filed under the name uncultured bacterium. RNAcentral's name for it is "partial 16S ribosomal RNA". It matches the Rfam family "Bacterial small subunit ribosomal RNA", at positions 524 to 776 of the family's 1533-position model. The record is from RNAcentral.
UACGGGGGGGGCAAGCGUUGUUCGGAAUUACUGGGCGUAAAGGGCUCGUAGGUGGCCAACUAAGUCAGACGUGAAAUCCCUCGGCUUAACCGGGGAACUGCGUCUGAUACUGGAUGGCUUGAGUUUGGGAGAGGGACGCGGAAUUCCCGGUGUAGCGGUGAAAUGCGCAGAUAUCGGGAGGAACACCAGUAGCGAAGGCGACACUCUGGGCCGGUACUGACGCUGAGGAGCGAAAGCGUGGGGAGCAAACAGG